Molecule: long non-coding RNA, 599 nt
Filed under: Fragaria vesca (wild strawberry)
Lineage: Eukaryota; Viridiplantae; Streptophyta; Magnoliopsida; Rosales; Rosaceae
Description: long non-coding RNA (FVES_LNC001787)
Source: RNAcentral
UCUUUGUUGUAUUAAGAAGACACUAUAUCAACAAACAUCUUGAGCUCAGAAGCUGAUUUUUCUUUACCUUUACAUAAUACCCUUGAAUUGUAUGUCCAUAAUGAAGGCCUUCAUAUAGUGGUUAGUGCCCUAGGAUCUUUACUGGUACUUUACGAUUUAAGCAAAGCUAAAAGAUGAACUUGAAGACAGAAACACAGCACACAACAACUUUAUAGUGGUUCAGCCAAAACCCUAGCCUACGUCCACUUUGUGAUAUCUCUUGAGAGAUUCACUAGCACUAUGGAGAAUCCUGAUUACAAGUACUUAUUGAAAUCCCUAUGCUAAUCCCCAACUCUCUUGCUAGAUCUCUCUAUCACCCUUAGAGCCCUCGGUUUUUUGCGGUAUCUAUCUUACCCUUAGAAACCCCCCUGCAGCUCCUAUUUAUAAAGAAUAGGGGUUGCUGAUACAACAUGGUUUAACACUCCUAAACCUAAUAUAGAUAAGUCUAUUACAAAUCCUAGUAGAACCUUGAAAGACUAACUUUCCUAAAACUUAUAGAAAAGCUACAGCGCUGUCCUAUUUUCGUUCUAGACUAACUUCCCAAGAACUUAUAGAAAAAC